This 324-nucleotide ribosomal RNA is filed under the name uncultured eukaryote. Its description in RNAcentral is "partial 18S ribosomal RNA". It matches the Rfam family "Eukaryotic small subunit ribosomal RNA", at positions 1470 to 1796 of the family's 1831-position model. The record is from RNAcentral.
CCCUUAGAUGUUCUGGGCUGCACGCGCGCUACACUGAAGCUAUCAACACGUUUUCCCUCCCUGAGAAGGGCGGGUAACCUUUUGAAUCAGCUUCGUGGUAGGGAUCGGGGCUUGCAAUUGUUCCCCGUGAACCAGGAAUUCCUAGUAGACGCGAGUCAUAAGCUCGCAUCGAUUAAGUCCCUGCCCUUUGUACACACCGCCCGUCGCUACUACCGAUUGAACGUUUUAGUGAGGCAUUUGGACCGGCGCAUCUCAGUUUAACCGCUGGUUUGUGUUGGAAAGACUUCCAAACUUGAGCGUUUAGAGGAAGUAAAAGGCGUAACA